RNAcentral lists this ribosomal RNA (401 nucleotides) under uncultured bacterium. Its description in RNAcentral is "bacterial SSU rRNA". It matches the Rfam family "Bacterial small subunit ribosomal RNA", at positions 355 to 773 of the family's 1533-position model. The record is from RNAcentral.
UGGGGAAUAUUGGACAAUGGGCGAAAGCCUGAUCCAGCAAUGCCGCGUGAGUGAUGAAGGCCUUAGGGUUGUAAAGCUCUUUUACCCGGGAUAAUAAUGACAGUACCGGGAGAAUAAGCUCCGGCUAACCCCGUGCCAGCAGCCGCGGUAAUACGGAGGGAGCUAGCGUUGUUCGGAUAUACUGGGCGUAAAGCGCACGUAGGCGGCGCAGCAAGUCAGGGGUGAAAUCCCGGAGCUCAACUCCGGAACUGCCCUUGAAACUGCAGUGCUAGAAUUCUGGAGAGGCGAGUGGAAUUCCGAGUGUAGAGGUGAAAUUCGUAGAUAUUCGGAGGAACACCAGUGGCGAAGGCGGCUCACUGGUCCAUUACUGACGCUGAGGUGCGAAAGCGUGGGGAGCAAAC